CCGAUGGCGACCGGCGCACGGGUGAGUAACACGUAUCCAACCUGCCUCAUACUCGGGGAUAGCCUUUCGAAAGAAAGAUUAAUAUCCGAUAGCAUAUAUUUCCCGCAUGGGUUUUAUAUUAAAGAAAUUCGGUAUGAGAUGGGGAUGCGUUCCAUUAGUUUGUUGGGGGGUAACGGCCCACCAAGACUACGAUGGAUAGGGGUUCUGAGAGGAAGGUCCCCCACAUUGGAACUGAGACACGGUCCAA
RNAcentral lists this ribosomal RNA (247 nucleotides) under uncultured bacterium. Its description in RNAcentral is "partial 16S ribosomal RNA". It matches the Rfam family "Bacterial small subunit ribosomal RNA", at positions 85 to 334 of the family's 1533-position model. The record is from RNAcentral.